This 253-nucleotide ribosomal RNA is filed under the name uncultured bacterium. RNAcentral describes it as "partial 16S ribosomal RNA". It matches the Rfam family "Bacterial small subunit ribosomal RNA", at positions 524 to 776 of the family's 1533-position model. The record is from RNAcentral.
UACAGAGGGGGCAAGCGUUGUUCGGAAUUACUGGGCGUAAAGGGCGCGUAGGCGGCCUGUUAAGUCGAACGUGAAAUCCCCGGGCUCAACCCGGGAACUGCGUCCGAUACUGGCAGGCUUGAAUCCGGGAGAGGGAUGUGGAAUUCCAGGUGUAGCGGUGAAAUGCGUAGAGAUCGGGAGGAACAUCAGUGGCGAAGGCGACCCUCUGGACCAGCACUGACGCUGAGGCACGAAAGCGUGGGGAGCAAACAGG